RNAcentral lists this ribosomal RNA (383 nucleotides) under uncultured eukaryote. RNAcentral describes it as "partial 18S ribosomal RNA". It matches the Rfam family "Eukaryotic small subunit ribosomal RNA", at positions 592 to 976 of the family's 1831-position model. The record is from RNAcentral.
CAAUAGCGUAUAUUUAAGUUGUUGCAGUUAAAAAGCUCGUAGUUGGAUUUCUGGUGGGAGCGAUCGGUCUGGCGCUUAGCGCGAGUACUUGCAUCGUCUCCGGCCAUCCUUGGGGAGAGUCUGUCUGGCAUUAGGUUGUCGGGCAGAGGAUCCUCAUCGUUUACUGUGAAAAAAUUAGAGUGUUCAAAGCAGGCUUAUGCCGUUGAAUAUAUUAGCAUGAAAUAAUAAGAUAGGACUUUGGUACUAUUUUGUUGGUUUGCGCACCAAAGUAAUGAUUAAUAGGGACAGUUGGGGGUAUUCGUAUUCCGUUGUCAGAGGUGAAAUUCUUGGAUUUACGGAAGACGAACUACUGCGAAAGCAUUUACCAAGGAUGUUUUCAUUAA